UUUAACUCUUCAUCUGAAUACAAUAUUCGUAAAACAUUUUCUCUGGCCCUACCUUAUUUAUAUACGGCGGCAGGAAGCUUUUUAAUCAUUUACCUCUUGAUUUAUUUUACUGAAAGUGACCGUAAGUCUAGGACGAAUUUUUGCAAAAUGAAGCUUUUUACACGUUGUAUGAAUUUUACGCCAUUUAGCAUUUUAACUGGCGUUUCUGUACAAUUAAACUAAGAUAUUUUAAAAACAGUGCCUUAAAUCAUAUUUUUGCAAGAGCAACUUUUUUUGCCAAAUUAAAUGGAGAAUCUAUCACCUCGCAGAUCAAGUCCCUCCGUAUCAUCACCACUGGCAAUAUUUUUUUAAAUUGGCUUCAUCAGUAAUUGAUAGUUCACUACAAUAACCUGCAUACGAAAUUUAAUUAAAAUUGAGCUGGUAGCUUAAAAGUUACGAUAAAUAAACAAUUAAUUAUUCUUAACUUUAACACCCUGUAUCUUUGUUAUUAAACAUUCCUGAGAAAAAUUUUAUAAUGAAAGCCUAUUUGUUUUUAAAUUCUCUAUCACGUAUAAAUGACGUUUAAACUGGUCCACCCUGUGCCUGCAUGCCAUCUGGACUCCUGGGUCAAAAAAUUGUUUUCCAAAUUAAUUUUUUUUUUUGGAUUUCAUACAGAUGGCGCCAUAACCAUUAACAGUUAAUUUAAAUUAAUUUUAAAGAAAUAAUUUUAUUUACGUGGACAGCCGGUAUAGUACACUCGUCUCAAGGAAAAUCUACGAGGUCCCACCGAGCUUCCAAACUGCCUAUAAAGCGAGUAAGGCGAGCUUUCGCUGCUUGGGACGUUGCCAAAUUUUUAUUUUGUACGUGUUUUUGAGAGAAAACGUUCGAUGUUUAUAAAAAGAAUAUAAACAAAUAAUUCUUAUUGGAAUAUUCUACAGAAGGAACUCUUUUGAGAUUUUGGAAAAACUGACGCACUGCACCUCUUAGGCAUCUAAGACGACUUUUUUUCUAUUCUUCUCAAAUUCCAACUAUACCUGAACCUCCCCCUGCUCACCUCGCGCAAAAAAACUCUCUCCACAACACCAAAAAAUGACACACCUGUCAUUGUCAAAAUUUCAGUCAAAUAAAAACUCACAUUAACUACCACCACCCCCCUAAAUGUUGGCCAUUUAGACUGGCUAUGAGUGCAAACUUCACAAAAACCGUUAAUCUGAACCAUCUACCUUUAGAGCGAAUUCACUACAGGUCCAAGGAGUACAUAGCGACCGUCUGUCGGGACAUAAUCGAAGACAUUUUGAAACAAACGUACGACGAGGAAGAUCCUUUGACCGUAGCACCGGUGAAGUGCAGCAAAGGAUCGCAAACCGAGGAUCAUCGCUACGAUUUUGUAUGGAAAAAAGGAGUUUUUUAAAGAAGGAUUUGUGCAAAGAUGGUGGAAAUAACCAGACUGAGACCGAAACCCUCCAAACCGGAUCAAGACGAUCAGGAGCUGGACGACUUAAGGGUUUUCGGGAUAAUUCCAGACCCACCAUUACAAGACGAAUCAUUUGAAGUCGUCGAAAUAGCCCACUGGGAUGUUGACGAGUUGAUUAGUGAUGACAUCCAGGUUUUGGAUGAUGACCAUCACGAGAGCGAUAUCAGUCAUCACAGGAUAAAGGAUAUCAUCGACAAUAUCGGCCGAACGGUUAAUUUAACUUUGGGAGAGUUCUUUCGGCCCAGGAUGGUUGACGGUAUGGAGGACGCCAAGAGAAAUUCGAUGCAAGAGUUUGUAAAUUGUGUGAAAAAACUGGAAAAGUUGACUCAGGAAUUGGAGAGAUUAACCGGGAGGAUCUAUAUGAUUCUUAAAGUGUUUAUGAUCAUGUUUGUUGUGAAUUUAGUGGUUGUGCCGACGGCGUCGGUUAUAGGUCCUAUAAGUGAUUUUUUUGGCAAUUUUUCUUAUUAAAUUAGUCGCGGAAUAGAUUUUUCUAUAUAACUGGC
Long non-coding RNA from Anthonomus grandis grandis, 1956 nucleotides. RefSeq lists it as uncharacterized. NCBI's taxonomy places the organism in Eukaryota, Metazoa, Arthropoda, Insecta, Coleoptera, Curculionidae. The record is from RefSeq and is a predicted model, not a curated record. The transcript has 2 exons.